This 399-nucleotide long non-coding RNA is filed under the name Canis lupus familiaris (dog). RNAcentral describes it as "lncRNA (ENSCAFG00845007630.1)". The record is from RNAcentral. Lineage: Eukaryota; Metazoa; Chordata; Mammalia; Carnivora; Canidae.
UUUGAAGGCUUAGAUUUCAGACUUGAAAUACAAAAGGAAUCUAAAGGGAAGAAAAACUUAAAAUGUGGUUUGAUAUUUCAGAGCUUUAAAAAAUCUCUAUUAUCUAUCUAUCUAUCUAUCUAUCUAUCUAUCUAUCUAUCUAUCUAUCAUCUAACCCUUCUAUUCAUUUGGAUUCACCAGAGAGAGAAAAUGACCAUCUCCAUGAGCAUCUUGAGACAAGAGAAACAGCAGAACUUACUUCCUUUCCUUUUACUGAGGAAAGAAAAUCCCCCCUUGGGAGAUAAACUUCCUUAAAAACAAAGAACAAGUGAAUUCACAUAGGGGACAUGCAAUGUACAUGAGACUGCAUGAAGAAAUAUAUUUAAUAUAAAUAAAUCUCAAACAUCUACAGAGACUGCA